This 72-nucleotide transfer RNA is filed under the name Marmota marmota marmota (Alpine marmot). It matches the Rfam family "tRNA". From Rfam's summary of the family: Transfer RNA (tRNA) molecules are approximately 80 nucleotides in length. Their secondary structure includes four short double-helical elements and three loops (D, anti-codon, and T loops). Lineage: Eukaryota; Metazoa; Chordata; Mammalia; Rodentia; Sciuridae. RNAcentral also lists the same sequence under 4 other names. The record is from Rfam by way of RNAcentral.
GGGAGUGUAGCUGAGCAGUAGAGUGCUUGCCUAGCAGGCACAAGGUCCUGAGUUCAAACUUCAGCAUUGCCA